This 460-nucleotide ribosomal RNA is filed under the name uncultured bacterium. Its description in RNAcentral is "partial 16S ribosomal RNA". It matches the Rfam family "Bacterial small subunit ribosomal RNA", at positions 338 to 795 of the family's 1533-position model. The record is from RNAcentral.
CCUACGGGAGGCAGCAGUGAGGAAUAUUGGUCAAUGGACGAGAGUCUGAACCAGCCAAGUAGCGUGAAGGAUGACUGCCCUAUGGGUUGUAAACUUCUUUUAUAUGGGAAUAAAAUGUUACACGUGUGGGAUUUUGUAUGUACCAUAUGAAUAAGGAUCGGCUAACACCGGGCCAGCAGCAGCGGCAAUACGGUGGAGCCGAGCGUUAUCCGGAUUUAUUGGGUUUAAAGGGAACGUAGGUGGAUUGUUAAGUCAGUUGUGAAAGUUUGGGGCUCAACCGUAAAAUUGCAGUUGAAACUGGCAGUCUUGAGUAUAGUAGAGGUGGGCGGAAUUCGUGGUGUAGCGGUGAAAUGCGUAGAGAUCACGAAGAACUCCGAUUGCGAAGGCAGCUCACUGGACUGCAACUGACACUGAGGCUCGAAAGUGUGGGUAUCAAACAGGAUUAGAUACCCUUGUAGUC